RNAcentral lists this unclassified non-coding RNA (19 nucleotides) under Mus musculus (house mouse). RNAcentral describes it as "oocyte_clustered_small_RNA6164". The record is from RNAcentral. Lineage: Eukaryota; Metazoa; Chordata; Mammalia; Rodentia; Muridae.
CUUCACAUCUGGGCUCAGG